This is a long non-coding RNA of Phyllostomus discolor (pale spear-nosed bat), 478 nucleotides long. RefSeq lists it as uncharacterized. The transcript has 2 exons. The record is from RefSeq and is a predicted model, not a curated record. NCBI's taxonomy places the organism in Eukaryota, Metazoa, Chordata, Mammalia, Chiroptera, Phyllostomidae.
UCAUGGCAUCUUCUGCUCAGAAGUGCGGCAUUCCCCCCCCCCCCCCACCGCUCCCCUAUUCUCCUUGCCUCCAUUUCAUCCUGCCCGGGGGAUCGUCAAGCCCUAGGCAGAAAAAAGCUGCCCUGGACAUAAACGUUUUGCUGACAGAACCAAUCCACAACCCGUGGGCUCCGGAUGAAAGAGCUGGGCCUCUGGGGGCAUCUUCUGGGCUGCAAAAAGGGCCAGGCGGCUCAAAAGCCACUUGAAACAAACACAACAGUGACUCUAAAACGCACCCAUAUGUCACGUUCUUACAGAAAAACACGCUCUGUAAUUAGUUAUAUGCUUUAGAGAAUAAAAUCCAAUUUACCUGUCAAAGAAAAAGGCUGAGCACCCCCACCCCAGACUGCUGGGGCGGGGUGGGGGGAUGCGGCUGGCAGGCCCCCUGCCUCCCCCAGCCCCGACCUUUCUCCUUCUACCUCCUUUAUUUGUUAAGACU